AUUAGGUUUCAUGUUCCUGUCUCUGUGUAGUUUCACCAGAUAGGCUGUAAUAGGUUUCAUGUUCCUGUCUCUGUGUAGUUUCACCAGACAGGCUGUAAUUAGGUUUCAUGUUCCUGUCUCUGUGUAGUUUCACCAGAUAGGCUGUAAUAGGUUUCAUGUUCCUGUCUCUGUGUAGUUUCACCAGAUAGGCUGUAAUAGGUUUCAUGUUCCUGUCUCUGUGUAGUUUCACCAGAUAGGCUGUAAUAGGUUUCAUGUUCCUGUCUCUGUGUAGUUUCACCAGAUAGGCUGUAAUAGGUUUCAUGUUCCUGUCUCUGUGUAGUUUCACCAGAUAGGCUGUAAUAGGUUUCAUGUUCCUGUCUCUGUGUAGUUUCACCAGAUAGGCUGUAAUAGGUUUCAUGUUCCUGUCUCUGUGUAGUUUCACCAGAUAGGCUGUAAUAGGUUUCAUGUUCCUGUCUCUGUGUAGUUUCACCAGAUAGGCUGUAAUAGGUUUCAUGUUCCUGUCUCUGUGUAGUUUCACCAGAUAGGCUGUAAUAGGUUUCAUGUUCCUGUCUCUGUGUAGUUUCACCAGAUAGGCUGUAAUAGGUUUCAUGUUCCUG
Long non-coding RNA from Oncorhynchus keta (chum salmon), 596 nucleotides. RefSeq lists it as uncharacterized. The record is from RefSeq and is a predicted model, not a curated record. The transcript has 3 exons. NCBI's taxonomy places the organism in Eukaryota, Metazoa, Chordata, Actinopteri, Salmoniformes, Salmonidae.